UCACAGACUGCACAGUGUCACACACUGUUGCAAACAGACCUUCUGUCCUUCUGUCCCCAGCAGCUGAACAAGGGGGACCAGGGACAGAGUUGUCUCCCUACCCCUGGCAUAAUGCUGGCUUGGGAGGGGACUUUUUGUGGUUCUCCUGGCACUUGUUGAGAGGACAAAUCCACCCCUGCUUGCUUGAAUCACCUACAACGGCGGGAGAAGAAGGGAGGAUGUGCUGCAGCACCCUGCUGGUGCUGAGGGAUCUCACCAGUGAGUCAGCCCAGUGUAGCCAUGUGAUAAAUGAGCUGAAAAGAAGCAAAACCUCUUCCCUGGAUUUUUUAGCACUCUCAACCAGGUUGGAGCAACAUCCCCCGUUAGGACUCAAAACUCAGAAA
This is a long non-coding RNA of Vidua chalybeata, 383 nucleotides long. RefSeq lists it as uncharacterized. The record is from RefSeq and is a predicted model, not a curated record. Lineage: Eukaryota; Metazoa; Chordata; Aves; Passeriformes; Viduidae. The transcript has 3 exons.